Molecule: long non-coding RNA, 329 nt
Organism: Bactrocera neohumeralis
Lineage: Eukaryota; Metazoa; Arthropoda; Insecta; Diptera; Tephritidae
Exons: 4
Source: RefSeq, a predicted model, not a curated record
AGCGUACUAUAUAGAAGGGUAUAUUCUACUCUGCGUCUAUGGCCUGGCAUGACAAAAAUGUCACCACCAGCACCAAUAAGUAGCAACAACAACACGCGCAAGCUAUACCUGAAACAUAUCCUUAUGUUGGAAAGAAUGCAUGAAGUUCCUAAAAUUCAACUCAUGUUCAACGACGGCACGAGGUGACCAGGUCAUUAUGAACUCAUGUGCGACUAAUUCUCUUACAGACCGUCUGUUGCCGAUGUAAAGUAUAAAUGUGUGUAUGUAACGGUGCACAAAGUUAUGAAUUCGAAUGCUUGAGAGACUUACCUGAAAGAUAAGAAAGAGAG